This 253-nucleotide ribosomal RNA is filed under the name uncultured bacterium. RNAcentral's name for it is "partial 16S ribosomal RNA". It matches the Rfam family "Bacterial small subunit ribosomal RNA", at positions 524 to 776 of the family's 1533-position model. The record is from RNAcentral.
UACGGAGGGUGCAAGCGUUAUCCGGAUUUACUGGGUUUAAAGGGUGCGUAGGCGGAUUUGUAAGUCCGAGGUGAAAUCUCCGAGCUUAACUCGGAAACUGCCUUGGAUACUAUAAGUCUUGAAUGACGUUGAGGUUAGCGGAAUAUGUCAUGUAGCGGUGAAAUGCUUAGAUAUGACAUAGAACAUCUAUUGCGAAGGCAGCCCCCUGGGACAAUACUGACGCUCAGGCACGAAAGCGUGGGGAGCAAACAGG